Molecule: ribosomal RNA, 398 nt
Filed under: uncultured bacterium
Lineage: Bacteria
Description: partial 16S ribosomal RNA
Rfam family: Bacterial small subunit ribosomal RNA
Source: RNAcentral
AUACGUAGGGUGGGAGCGUUGUCCGGAAUUACUGGGCGUAAAGAGCUCGUAGGUGGUUUGUCGCGUCGUCUGUGAAAUUCAGGGGCUUAACUCCGGGCGUGCGGGCGAUACGGGCAUAACUUGAGUACUGUAGGGGAGACUGGAAUUCCUGGUGUAGCGGAGAAAUGCGCAGAUAUCAGGAGGAACACCGGUGGCGAAGGCGGGUCUCUGGGCAGUAACUGACGCUGAGGAGCGAAAGCAUGGGUAGCGAGCAGGAUUAGAUACCCUGGUAGUCCAUGCCGUAAACGGUGGGCGCUAGGUGUAGGGGUCUUCCACGACUUCUGUGCCGUAGCUAACGCAUUAAGCGCCCCGCCUGGGGAGUACGGCCGCAGGGCUAAAACUCAAAUGAAUUGACGGGG